Molecule: ribosomal RNA, 500 nt
Filed under: uncultured Glomeromycotina
Lineage: Eukaryota; Fungi; Glomeromycota
Description: partial small subunit ribosomal RNA
Rfam family: Eukaryotic small subunit ribosomal RNA
Source: RNAcentral
CCAAUAGCGUAUAUUAAAGUUGUUGCAGUUAAAAAGCUCGUAGUUGAAUUUCGGGGUUAGUAGGUUGGUCAUGCCUCUGGUAUGUACUGGUCUCACUGGUUCCUCCUUCCUGAUGAGCCGUAAUGCCAUUAAUUUGGUGUUGCAGGGAAUUUUGACUGUUACUGUGAAAAAAUUAGAGUGUUUAAAGCUAGCUAACGCUUGAAUACAUUAGCAUGGAAUAAUGAAAUAGGACGUUCGAUCCUAUUUUGUUGGUUUCUAGGAUUGACGUAAUGAUUAAUAGGUAUAGUUGGGGGCAUUAGUAUUCAAUUGUCAGAGGUGAAAUUCUUGGAUUUAUUGAAGACUAACUACUGCGAAAGCAUUUGCCAAGGAUGUUUUCAUUAAUCAAGAACGAAAGUUAGGGGAUCGAAGACGAUCAGAUACCGUCGUAGUCUUAACCAUAAACUAUGCCGACUAGGGAUCGGAUGAUGUUAAUUUUUUAAUGACUCAUUCGGCGCCUUACG